RNAcentral lists this ribosomal RNA (574 nucleotides) under soil bacterium enrichment culture clone AOBMPRD9. Its description in RNAcentral is "bacterial SSU rRNA". It matches the Rfam family "Bacterial small subunit ribosomal RNA", at positions 958 to 1532 of the family's 1533-position model. The record is from RNAcentral.
CGAGGGAAGAACCUUACCUGGCCUUGACAUGGUGAGAACUUUCCAGAGAAAGAUUGGUGCUUCGGGAGCUCAGACGCAGGUGCUGCAUGCUGUCGUCAGCCUGGGGGCGAGAGAUGUUGGGUUAAGUCCCGUAACGAGCGCAACCCUUGUCCUUAGUUACCAGCACGUUAUGGUGGGCACUCUAAGGAGACUGCCGGUGACAAACCGGAGGAAGGUGGGGAUGACGUCAAGUCAUCAUGGCCCUUACGGCCAGGGCUACACACGUGCUACAAUGGUCGGUACAAAGGGUUGCCAAACCGCGAGGUGGAGCUAAUCCCAUAAAACCGAUCGUAGUCCGGAUCGCAGUCUGCAACUCGACUGCGUGAAGUCGGAAUCGCUAGUAAUCGUGAAUCAGAACGUCACGGUGAAUACGUUCCCGGGCCUUGUACACACCGCCCGUCACACCAUGGGAGUGGGUUGCUCCAGAAGUAGCUAGUCUAACCCUCGGGAGGACGGUUACCACGGAGUGAUUCAUGACUGGGGUGAAGUCGUAACAAGGUAGCCGUAGGGGAACCUGCGGCUGGAUCACCUCCUU